Molecule: ribosomal RNA, 253 nt
Filed under: uncultured bacterium
Lineage: Bacteria
Description: partial 16S ribosomal RNA
Rfam family: Bacterial small subunit ribosomal RNA
Source: RNAcentral
UACGGAGGGGGCUAGCGUUGUUCGGAAUUACUGGGCGUAAAGGGCGCGUAGGCGGUAGCACAAGUCAGUUGUGAAAUCUCCGGGCUUAACUCGGAAAGGUCAACUGAUACUGUGCGACUAGAGUGCGGAAGGGGCAACUGGAAUUCUCGGUGUAGCGGUGAAAUGCGUAGAUAUCGAGAGGAACACCUGCGGCGAAGGCGGGUUGCUGGGCCGACACUGACGCUGAUGCGCGAAAGCGUGGGGAGCGAACAGG